AACGAACGCUGGCGGCGCGUCUUAAGCAUGCAAGUCGAACGGCAAGAGAGGAGCUUGCUUCUCUCCUAGAGUGGCGGACUGGUGAGGAACACGUGGGUAAUCUACCCUUAAGAUGGGGAUAGCUGCUAGAAAUAGCAGGUAAUACCGAAUACACUCGGCAUAUCACAAGAGGUGUUGAGGAAAGGAAGCUACGGCUUCGCUUGAGGAUGGGCUUGCGUCCCAUUAGCUAGUUGGUGAGGUAAAGGCCCACCAAGGCGACGAUGGGUAUCCGGCCUGAGAGGGUGAACGGACACAUUGGGACUGAGAUGCGGCCCAAACUCCUACGGGAGGCAGCAGCUAAGAAUAUUCCGCAAUGGACGGAAGUCUGACGGAGCGACGCCGCGUGGAUGAAGAAGGCUGAAAAGUUGUAAAAUCCUUUUGUUGAUGAAGAAUAAGGGUGAGAGGGAAUGCUCAUCUGAUGACGGUAAUCGACGAAUAAGCCCCGGCUAAUUACGUG
This 496-nucleotide ribosomal RNA is filed under the name uncultured bacterium. RNAcentral describes it as "partial 16S ribosomal RNA". It matches the Rfam family "Bacterial small subunit ribosomal RNA", at positions 29 to 507 of the family's 1533-position model. The record is from RNAcentral.